This 251-nucleotide ribosomal RNA is filed under the name uncultured prokaryote. RNAcentral describes it as "partial 16S rRNA". It matches the Rfam family "Bacterial small subunit ribosomal RNA", at positions 525 to 775 of the family's 1533-position model. The record is from RNAcentral.
ACAGAGGUCCCAAGCGUUGUUCGGAUUCACUGGGCGUAAAGGGUGCGUAGGUGGCGGGGUAAGUCGGAUGUGAAAUCUCCGAGCUCAACUCGGAAACUGCAUUGGAAACUACUCUGCUUGAGGGUUGGAGGGGGGACUGGAAUACUUGGUGUAGAAGUGAAAUGCGUAGAUAUCAAGGGGAACACCAGUGGCGAAGGCGAGUCCCUGGACCUCUCCUGACGCUGAGACGCGAAAGCUAGUGGAGCAAACAG